Unclassified non-coding RNA from Papio anubis (olive baboon), 117 nucleotides. It matches the Rfam family "Metazoan signal recognition particle RNA". From Rfam's summary of the family: The signal recognition particle (SRP) is a universally conserved ribonucleoprotein. It is involved in the co-translational targeting of proteins to membranes. NCBI's taxonomy places the organism in Eukaryota, Metazoa, Chordata, Mammalia, Primates, Cercopithecidae. The record is from Ensembl.
GCCGGGUGUGGUGGCUCGCACCUGUAAUCCCAGCACUUUGGGAGGCCGAGGUGGGUGGAUCACCUGAGGUCAGGAGUUUGAGACCAGCCUGUCCAACAUGGUGAAACCCCGUCUCUA